GGCAGAGUGUAGCCUAGUGGUAAAGUGCUGGACCAUCAAUCGGGAGGUCGUGGGUUCGAACCCCACCACGGUCA
This 74-nucleotide transfer RNA is filed under the name Trialeurodes vaporariorum (greenhouse whitefly). RNAcentral describes it as "tRNA-Asp for anticodon AUC". It matches the Rfam family "tRNA". From Rfam's summary of the family: Transfer RNA (tRNA) molecules are approximately 80 nucleotides in length. The record is from RNAcentral. Lineage: Eukaryota; Metazoa; Arthropoda; Insecta; Hemiptera; Aleyrodidae.